This 318-nucleotide ribosomal RNA is filed under the name uncultured bacterium. RNAcentral's name for it is "bacterial SSU rRNA". It matches the Rfam family "Bacterial small subunit ribosomal RNA", at positions 28 to 346 of the family's 1533-position model. The record is from RNAcentral.
GACGAACGCUGGCGGCGUGCUUAACACAUGCAAGUCGAGCGGUAAGGCCCUUUCGGGGGUACGACGAGCGGCGAACGGGUGAGUAACACGUGGGUGACCUGCCCUCAGCUCUGGGAUAAGCCCGGGAAACUGGGUCUAAUACCGGAUAUGACUUCAUGACGCAUGUUGUGGAGUGGAAAGCCUUGUGCGGCUGAGGAUGGGCCCGCGGCCUAUCAGCUUGUUGGUGGGGUGAUGGCCUACCAAGGCGACGACGGGUAGCCGGCCUGAGAGGGCGACCGGCCACACUGGGACUGAGAUACGGCCCAGACUCCUACGGGA